UCAAAGANUUCCUGCGCAACGUUAAUCGACGCAGGGUUAGUCGGUUCCUAAGGCGAGGCUGAAAGCGUAGUCGAUGGGAACAGGUUAAUAUUCCUGUACUUCUGGUUACUGCGAUGGAGGGACGGAGAAGGCUAGGCCAGCUUGGCGUUGGUUGUCCAAGUUUAAGGUGGUAGGCUGAAAUCUUAGGUAAAUCCGGGGUUUCAAGGCCGAGAGCUGAUGACGAGUCGUCUUUUAGAUGACGAAGUGGUUGAUGCCAUGCUUCCAAGAAAAGCUUCUAAGCUUCAGGUAACCAGGAACCGUACCCCAAACCGACACAGGUGGUCGGGUGAGAAUACCAAGGCGCUUGGAGAACUCAGGUGAAGGAACUAGGCAAACGGCACCGUAACUUCGGGAGAAGGUGCGCCGGCUAGGGUGAAGAUUUACUCCGUAAGCCUGGCUGGUCGAAGAUACCAGGCCGCUGCGACUGUUUAUUAAACACAGCACUCUGCAAACACGAAAGUGGACGUAUAGGGUGUGACGCCUCCCCGGUGCCGGAAGGUUAAUUGAUGGGGUUAGCGCAAGCGAAGCUCUUGAUCGAAGCCCCGGUAAACGGCGGCCGUAACAAUAACGGUCCUAAGGUAGCGAAAUUCCUUGUCGGUAAGUUCCGACCUGCACGAAUGGCGUAACGAUGGCGGCGCUGUUCCACCCGAGACUCAGUGAAAUUGAAAUCGCUGUGAAGAUGCAGUGUAUCCGCGGCUAGACGGAAAGACCCCGUGAACCUUUACUGUAGCUUUGCACUGGACUUUGAGCCUGCUUGUGUAGGAUAGGUGGGAGGCUUUGAAGCGUGGACGCCAGUUCGCGUGGAGCCAUCCUGAAAUACCACCCUGGCAUGCUUGAGGUUCUAACUCUGGUCCGUAAUCCGGAUCGAGGACACAGUGUAUGGUGGGCAGUUUGACUGGGCGGUCCUCCUAAAGAGUAACGGAGGAGUACGAAGGUGCGCUCAGACCGGUCGGAAAUCGGUCGNAGNAUAAAAGCAAAGCGCGCUUGACUGCGAGACAGACACGUCGAGCAGGUACGAAAGUAGGUCUUAGUGAUCCGGUGGUUCUGUAUGGAAGGGCCAUCGCUCAACGGAUAAAAGGUACUCCGGGGAUAACAGGCUGAUACCGCCCAAGAGUUCAUAUCGACGGCGGUGUUUGGCACCUCGAUGUCGGCUCAUCACAUCCUGGGGCUGAAGCCGGUCCAAGGGUAUGGCUGUUCGCCAUUUAAAGUGGUACGCGAGCUGGGUUUAGAACGUCGUGAGACAGUUCGGUCCCUAUCUGCCGUGGACGUUUGAGAUUUGAGAGGGCUGCUCCUGGUACGAGAGGACCGGAGUGGACGAACCUCUGGUGUUCCGGUUGUCACGCCAGUGGCAUUGCCGGGUAGCUAUGUUCGGAAAGAUAACCGCUGAAAGCAUCUAAGNGGAAACUUGCCUCAAGAUGAGAUCUCACUGGGAACUUGAUUCCCUGAAGGGCCGUCGAAGACUACGACGUUGAUAGGCUGGGUGNGUAAGCGUUGUGACGUUGAGCUAACCAGUACUAAUUGCCCGUGAGGC
RNAcentral lists this ribosomal RNA (1570 nucleotides) under metagenome. RNAcentral's name for it is "bacterial LSU rRNA". It matches the Rfam family "Bacterial large subunit ribosomal RNA", at positions 1344 to 2917 of the family's 2925-position model. The record is from RNAcentral.